GCGGGCGUGGCGAAAUUGGCAGACGCGCCAGGUUUAGGUCCUGGUCCCGCGAGGGAUGGAGGUUCGAGUCCUCUCGCCCGCA
RNAcentral lists this transfer RNA (82 nucleotides) under Acidimicrobiaceae bacterium. RNAcentral's name for it is "tRNA-Leu". It matches the Rfam family "tRNA". From Rfam's summary of the family: Transfer RNA (tRNA) molecules are approximately 80 nucleotides in length. Their secondary structure includes four short double-helical elements and three loops (D, anti-codon, and T loops). Further hydrogen bonds mediate the characteristic L-shaped molecular structure. tRNAs have two regions of fundamental functional importance: the anti-codon, which is responsible for specific mRNA codon recognition, and the 3' end, to which the tRNAs corresponding amino acid is attached (by aminoacyl-tRNA synthetases). tRNAs cope with the degeneracy of the genetic code in two manners: having more than one tRNA (with a specific anti-codon) for a particular amino acid; and 'wobble' base-pairing, i.e. permitting non-standard base-pairing at the 3rd anti-codon position. The record is from RNAcentral. Lineage: Bacteria; Bacillati; Actinomycetota; Acidimicrobiia; Acidimicrobiales; Acidimicrobiaceae.